UCGCACGGGUCCCGCAAGGGACAGUGGCGGACGGGUGAGUAACACGUGGAUAACCUGCCCGACUCCCCGGGAUAACAGACCGAAAGGUCUGCUAAUACCGGGUAAGCUCACGGGGCCGCAUGGUCCUGGGAGAAAAGGCCCCGCAAGGGGUUGGGGACGGAGGGGUCCGCGGUCCAUUAGCUAGUUGGAGGGGUAACGGCCCACCAAGGCGACGAUGGAUAGCCGGCCUGAGAGGGCGACCGGCCACACUGGGACUGAGACACGGCCCAGACUCCUACGGGAGGCAGCAGUCGGGAAUUUUGGGCAAUGGCCGAAAGGGCUGACCCAGCAACGCCGCGUGAGUGAAGAAGGCCUUCGGGUUGUAAAGCUCUGUUGCUCGUGAAGAACGGUACUGUGAGGAAAUGCGCAGUACUUGACGGUAGCGGGUGAGGAAGCCCCGGCUAACUACGUGCCAGCAGCCGCGGUAAUACGUAGGGGGCGAGCGUUGUCCGGAUUUAUUGGGCGUAAAGGGCGUGUAGGCGGUCUGUUAAGUCAGGGGUGAAACUCCGCAGCUCAACUGCGGACCUGCCUCUGAUACUGGCGGACUUGAGUACUCUAGAGGGCAGUGGAAUUCCCGGUGUAGCAGUGAAAUGCGUAGAGAUCGGGAGGAACACCAGUGGCGAAGGCGGCUGCCUGGGGAGAAACUGACGCUGAGGCGCGAAAGCUGGGGGAGCAAACGGGAUUAGAUACCCCGGUAGUCCCAGCCGUAAACGAUGAGUGCUAGGUGUAGGGGGUAUCGAC
This 780-nucleotide ribosomal RNA is filed under the name uncultured bacterium. RNAcentral describes it as "bacterial SSU rRNA". It matches the Rfam family "Bacterial small subunit ribosomal RNA", at positions 62 to 836 of the family's 1533-position model. The record is from RNAcentral.